GAUGAACGCUGGCGGCGUGCUUAACACAUGCAAGUCGAACGGAGAGGCAAAGCUUUUUCUGUGGUUCCGUGGGGGGCGGGUGAGUGACACAUGAGCGGACUGCCCCCGUCUCUGGGUUAGACGAUGGCGACAGCGUGGAGUACAGACUAUAUGAUGUGACCGCCCGGUCGGCUGAUGGGAAAAUUUCUCGGUCUGGGCUGGGCGUACGGGUUAUCAGGUUGUUUGUGAGGGUAUGGAUCACCAAGGCGUAGACGGGUAACCGGCCUGAGAGGGUGACCGGGCACAAUGGGACUGAGAGACGGCCCAGACUCCUACGGGAGGCAGCAGUGGGGAAUAUUGCACAAUGGGCGAAAGCCUGAUGCAGCAACGCCGCGUGCGGGAUGACGGCCUUCGGGUUGUAAACCGCUUUGAGCAGGGAAGAAGCGGAAGUGACGGUACCUGCUGAAAAAGCGCCGGCUAACUACGUG
RNAcentral lists this ribosomal RNA (467 nucleotides) under uncultured bacterium. Its description in RNAcentral is "partial 16S ribosomal RNA". It matches the Rfam family "Bacterial small subunit ribosomal RNA", at positions 28 to 507 of the family's 1533-position model. The record is from RNAcentral.